RNAcentral lists this ribosomal RNA (329 nucleotides) under uncultured eukaryote. RNAcentral describes it as "partial 18S ribosomal RNA". It matches the Rfam family "Eukaryotic small subunit ribosomal RNA", at positions 1470 to 1796 of the family's 1831-position model. The record is from RNAcentral.
CCCUUAGAUGUUCUGGGCCGCACGCGCGCUACACUGACGAUGGCAACGAGUUUUUCCUUCGCCGAAAGGUGUGGGUAAUCUUUUGAAACAUCGUCGUGCUGGGGAUAGAUCAUUGCAAUUUUUGAUCUUGAACGAGGAAUUCCUAGUAAGCGCGAGUCAUCAGCUCGCGUUGAUUACGUCCCUGCCCUUUGUACACACCGCCCGUCGCUACUACCGAUUGAAUGGUUUAGUGAGGACUCCUGAUAGGCGCCGCCGCCCCGGCAACGGAGCAGCGGACUGCCGAAAAGUUGUUCAAACUUGAUCAUUUAGAGGAAGUAAAAGUCGUAACA